This 111-nucleotide small nucleolar RNA is filed under the name Henningerozyma blattae CBS 6284. RNAcentral's name for it is "Tetrapisispora blattae CBS 6284 Small nucleolar RNA snR87". It matches the Rfam family "Small nucleolar RNA snR87". Lineage: Eukaryota; Fungi; Ascomycota; Saccharomycetes; Saccharomycetales; Saccharomycetaceae. The record is from Rfam by way of RNAcentral.
ACGUUUAACUGAUGAUAUAAUUUGCGAUUAAGGACGGAUCUCCUGGAACAUGCCUAGUUCUAUUAUGGGGGGUCUCGUGGUAUGCGGACAAUUUUUUCGACUGACAUUUUU